Molecule: long non-coding RNA, 335 nt
Organism: Catharus ustulatus (Swainson's thrush)
Lineage: Eukaryota; Metazoa; Chordata; Aves; Passeriformes; Turdidae
Exons: 4
Source: RefSeq, a predicted model, not a curated record
GGAGCCUUUUCAGCUCGUUUAGGUCCAGUGUGGCCGCAGCUGCUCAGAAACAGGACACUGAGGAGAAGAACCUGGAGCUACUGAGGAAAAUGGUGAAGAUGGGAAAUCCCAUGAAGAAAUACAUGGAACUGGGAAAUAUUGGCAGCGGGUGGCCAUAAGGAAAAUAAAUCUCCAAGGACUGAGGAAGAAGGAACUAAAAGGCAAUGAAUUCAUGUUCAUGAAGAAGAAUAGGAAUCCCAACCUGGUCAACUAUUUAGACAGCUACCUUGUGGGUAAGCAAUUCUGGCUGGUGAUGGAGUACAUGGAUGGAGGCUCUCUGAGCGAUGCCAUCAGCA